RNAcentral lists this ribosomal RNA (486 nucleotides) under uncultured bacterium. RNAcentral describes it as "partial 16S ribosomal RNA". It matches the Rfam family "Bacterial small subunit ribosomal RNA", at positions 30 to 507 of the family's 1533-position model. The record is from RNAcentral.
AUUGAACGCUGGCGGCAUGCCUUACACAUGCAAGUCGAACGGCAGCACGGGUGCUUGCACCUGGUGGCGAGUGGCGCACGGGUGAGUAAUACAUCGGAACAUGUCCUGUAGUGGGGGAUAGCCCGGCGAAAGCCGGAUUAAUACCGCAUACGAACUACGGAUGACAGCGGGGGACCUUCGGGCCUCGCGCUAUAGGGUUGGCCGAUGGCGGAUUAGCUAGUUGGUGGGGUAAAGGCCUACCAAGGCGACGAUCAGUAGCUGGUCUGAGAGGACGACCAGCCACACUGGGACUGAGACACGGCCCAGACUCCUACGGGAGGCAGCAGUGGGGAAUUUUGGGCAAUGGGCGAAAGCCUGAUCCAGCAAUGCCGCGUGUGUGAAGAAGGCCUUCGGGUUGUAAAACACUUUUGUCCGGAAAGAAAUCCUUGGCCCUAAUACGGUCGGGGGAUGACGGUACCGGAAGAAUAAGCACCGGCUAACUACGUG